AAAUUCUUAACGGCCGCGGCACUAAAACCGUGCAAAGGUAGCACAAUCACUUGUCCCUUAAAUGAGGACCCGUAUGAAAGGCAACAUGAGAGAAGACCUGUCUCCUAAGGCCAGCCAAUGAAAUUGAACUGCCAGUACAAAAGCUGGUAUUUACAAGCAAGACAAAAAGACCCUGUGGAACUUUAACAAAUUAUUUAUGUACAUAAAUUAUAGUUUCAGCCGGGACAACUUUAGAGAAAAUUAACCUCUUAAUAAUACACAGACCAACAAGUCUAACCCACCCGACCCAGUCACACUGAUUNACGAAACAAGCUACCCUAGGGAUAACAGCGCCACCUUCUCAAAGAGUCCAUAUCAACAAGAAGAUCUA
RNAcentral lists this ribosomal RNA (370 nucleotides) under Bradypodion taeniabronchum. RNAcentral describes it as "partial 16S ribosomal RNA". It matches the Rfam family "Bacterial large subunit ribosomal RNA", at positions 1914 to 2520 of the family's 2925-position model. The record is from RNAcentral. Lineage: Eukaryota; Metazoa; Chordata; Lepidosauria; Squamata; Chamaeleonidae.